GCCCAGACAAGCGCUCUCCCGUGAGUGUGCCGGGAUCGGCGGGGCUUGAACUUCUGGAAAGGGGUCUGCGGGCUCAGGAGCUGGGGUUGGCGGCCUGGGGCCGGCUGAAGACGAUUCCUCUCUGGCGCCUGUGAACCUCAGGGCGUCAUGGUACAUCCUGAAGUGAAGACUGCGUGUGGCCUCCAGGAUGGAAGCCUUCCCAGUCCUGCAGCCACCUGCAGACUCUCACAAGCACUGUGUUCCCAGAAGAAAAGCUUCUACCCCAGGCCCAGCGGAGCUGGGAGAAAGCAGGAAGCCCUGAAGGUUUUUCACCCUGGGGGUGAGCUUGCAUAAUUGAAGAUAUAUUUGAGGAAAAUUGUACAGAUAGUCCCAACUUAGCACUGUUUCACUUUAUGAUGGUAUGGAAGUGAUAGCAUUCAGUAGAAAUUGUACUUUGAGUGCCAAUACAAUCACUAUUUCUCACCUUCAGUGCAGUAUUCAAUAAACUACAUGAGAUAGUCAACACUUUCCUAUAAAAUACGCUUCGUGUAAGAUGAUUCUGCCCAAAUGUAAGGCUAAUGCAAGUACUCUGAGCACAUUUAAGGGAAGGCUGGGCUAAGCGAUGAUAUUCCAUAAGUUAGGCGCAUUUAAUGUAUUUUAAACAUAGGAUAUUCUCAACUUGCAAGAGUUUAUCAGAACAUGACAUCAUUAGUCACUCAAGGACCAUCUGUGCUACUAAUGACAUAGAUGCUGGUUGGAGGAAAGCAGGCAAUAGCCAGGGGACACAGCAGGGAAGAAGUGACGUUUUUAAAGACAGAGACCAGUUUUAAAUAUUGCUAAGAAAGACCUUGUAGAGAGAAGCUGGUGAUACUGGAGACAGCAUGCAACAAAGAGCCCCGAAGAACAAGGAGAGCAUAGAGUCUCCUCUUCUGGGAGCAGAAGGAGUGUCGACUUAAAUAUUAGGGAGGAAAGAUGAACCUCGCAGAGAACCUGCAAAACCCAGUCUCAGAAAUACCCACCUGCACCUAAAACCUUAGUCACUGAGAGUCUGAAAGAGCAAUGAUUAUGUGAAAUCUUGGUAGUGGGAACAUGUGGUUUCAUUAGAUUAUUCUUUGUAUCUAUAUUUCUACUAUCUUAAAAUAAACACUAUAAGUUUUAAAACUAUACAAAAGA
Molecule: long non-coding RNA, 1152 nt
Organism: Cebus imitator (Panamanian white-faced capuchin)
Lineage: Eukaryota; Metazoa; Chordata; Mammalia; Primates; Cebidae
Exons: 3
Source: RefSeq, a predicted model, not a curated record